Molecule: long non-coding RNA, 383 nt
Filed under: Ananas comosus (pineapple)
Lineage: Eukaryota; Viridiplantae; Streptophyta; Magnoliopsida; Poales; Bromeliaceae
Description: long non-coding RNA (ACOM_LNC038724)
Source: RNAcentral
AUUUAUUGCUUUCAGAUACAUAUCUAUCUAUCUAUCUACCUGUUGUUACUUGUGCCCACUUGGACCUAGUGGGGAGAUCGGCAGAGUCGGCGGCCGAGCCCACUGGGAACUAUGGAAGAUAGUUCUCACCCCACUCUAUUUCCAGUGGUAGGUUCAGGGCUGCAGAGAGAGGACCGCGGCACGGGCGUCGCGCCCGACCAUCAGUGAGGCCGUGGUAGUAUAGUAGCAUUCCUUUUGCAUUAGCACGCCUAUGUACUGAGAGGGAUUCAUGUAGGUGAGGUUGGAGAGCUAUGUAUUUUGAGGAUCAAAUGUAUUCAUUUUGGAAAAAGAUGUAAAUGUAAAGGAUGCAACUAUUGUAAUAGUUAGUAAAGUACUCUCUUUAU